RNAcentral lists this ribosomal RNA (774 nucleotides) under uncultured Neocallimastigales. RNAcentral describes it as "partial large subunit ribosomal RNA". It matches the Rfam family "Eukaryotic large subunit ribosomal RNA", at positions 24 to 646 of the family's 3401-position model. Lineage: Eukaryota; Fungi; Neocallimastigomycota; Neocallimastigomycetes; Neocallimastigales. The record is from RNAcentral.
GUAGUCUCGCACAGAUGCAUAUCAAUAAGCGGAGGAAAAGAAACUAACAAGGAUUCCCCUAGUAACGGCGAGUGAAGCGGGAAGAGCUCAAAUUUGAAAUCUUAAAGGGUUUCCCUUUACGAAUUGUAGUUUAAAGAAGUGUUUUCUGUUGAGGUUUUGGUAAAAGUUCUUUGGAAUAGGACAUCAUAGAGGGUGAGAAUCCCGUAUUUGACCUUUACUUUCAACUUUGUGAUACACUUUCAAAGAGUCGGAUUGUUUGGGAAUGCAGUCCAAAAUGGGUGGUAAUUUUCAUCUAAAGCUAAAUAUUGGCGAGAGACCGAUAGCGAACAAGUACCGUGAGGGAAAGAUGAAAAGAACUUUGAAAAGAGAGUUAAACAGUACGUGAAAUUGUCAAAAGGGAAGCGUUUGACACCAGUGUUGUUUUUCUGAAAAUCAAUUAAAGAACUGUUUAUGCUAAGUUGUUUAGACUUUAUCAGCUAACUGUUUAGUUUUAAGCUUUUCUUUAAUGCACUUUUCAGUUAACAAGUCAACAUCAAUUUCUUUUGCUGUAAAAAAGCUUGAGGAAGGUGGCUUGAGAUUCGUCUUAAGUGUUUAUAGCCUCUUGCCUAUGCAGUCGGAGAGAUUGAGGUCUGCAGCGUAGAUCCUUCGGGGCUAAAUGCAUUUGUGCUAAGUUAUAGCAUUUUAUAGACAACUUGUUGACUAUGAUUUGUCUUGUAGCUUACUCGCUUAUGUUAUUUUACCUACGCUUAGGAUGUUGAUCUGUAGUGCGUGCGC